RNAcentral lists this long non-coding RNA (299 nucleotides) under Fragaria vesca (wild strawberry). Its description in RNAcentral is "long non-coding RNA (FVES_LNC000294)". The record is from RNAcentral. Lineage: Eukaryota; Viridiplantae; Streptophyta; Magnoliopsida; Rosales; Rosaceae.
AAAGGAAUUGGCUAAUACAUCAGUAUUCUCAGACACCAAUGCUGAAACUGGGAAUAAUCAAAAGGAGAAUGUCGCUCAGAGCAACGCAAAUGAGAAUGUCGGUCAGAGCAACACAAAUGACAAUGUCGGUCAGAGCAACGCAAAUGAGAAUGUUGUUCAGAGCAACACAAAUGAGAAUGUUGUUCAGAGCAACACAAAAGAGAAUGAGGGUGCAGGAGGAGAAGAAUCUGGUAAUGCUAAGGAGAACGAAGCUUCCUCAAGUACAAAUGACAACACUGAGGCGCAGAAUGUCAAUGUUG